This 26-nucleotide non-coding RNA is filed under the name Homo sapiens (human). Lineage: Eukaryota; Metazoa; Chordata; Mammalia; Primates; Hominidae. The record is from RNAcentral.
CAGAGAGAUGGUAAGCAGCUGUAUGA